ACAUACGACCAUACCCACUGGAAUAUACGGGAUCCCGUCCGCUCUCCCCUAGUCAAACCAGUGAGGGCCGAACUAGUACUCAGGUGGGUGACCACUGGGGAAUCCUCGGUGUUGUAUGUG
Molecule: ribosomal RNA, 120 nt
Filed under: Pyricularia oryzae 70-15
Lineage: Eukaryota; Fungi; Ascomycota; Sordariomycetes; Magnaporthales; Pyriculariaceae
Source: RNAcentral